UUUUGCGUAAUUGUGACUAUUUUCGACCGUUUGAAAGUAUGUUGGACGCGCAAAUUCGGGAUGAAUAUCCAGAACUCUCUGAUGAUGAGGUCACCUCUAAAAGAGACGAAGAUUUUCAUUUAUGGAUUCGCCAAUACGUGGAAGCAACGAGAAGUCAUCAAAAUUUUCCUCCAUGGGUUCAUGAACUAGUGGAAGGUCCUGAAAACAAAGUCAAGUCAUGGCCCAUGUAUUUUACUAGAGGAUAUAUGUUUCACACGCGGAAUCAUGGGCGCACAAGAAAGACAAUGAAUUAUGGG
Molecule: long non-coding RNA, 296 nt
Organism: Arabidopsis lyrata subsp. lyrata
Lineage: Eukaryota; Viridiplantae; Streptophyta; Magnoliopsida; Brassicales; Brassicaceae
Exons: 3
Source: RefSeq, a predicted model, not a curated record